Molecule: small RNA, 124 nt
Filed under: Marmota monax (woodchuck)
Lineage: Eukaryota; Metazoa; Chordata; Mammalia; Rodentia; Sciuridae
Source: RNAcentral
GCUGGGUGCGGUGGCCACGCCUGUCAUCCCAGGGGCUCGGGAGGCUGAGGCAGGAGGAUUGUGAGUUCAAAGCCAGCCUCAGCAACAGUGAGGCCCUCAGCAUCUCAGUGAGACCCUGUCUCUA